RNAcentral lists this ribosomal RNA (493 nucleotides) under uncultured bacterium. RNAcentral's name for it is "bacterial SSU rRNA". It matches the Rfam family "Bacterial small subunit ribosomal RNA", at positions 791 to 1289 of the family's 1533-position model. The record is from RNAcentral.
UAGUCCACGCCCUAAACGAUGCUAACUCGAUGUUUGUAUUUAUAUGAGCAUCCAAGGGAAACCGUUAAGUUAGCCACCUGGGGAGUACGUUCGCAAGAAUGAAACUCAAAGGAAUUGACGGGGGCCCGCACAAGCGGUGGAGCAUGUGGUUUAAUUCGAUGCAACGCGAAGAACCUUACCUACUCUUGACAUCCUCAGAAGAGACUGGAGACAGUCUUGUGCCUUCGGGAACUGAGAGACAGGUGCUGCAUGGCUGUCGUCAGCUCGUGUUGUGAAAUGUUGGGUUAAGUCCUAUAACGAGCGCAACCCCUAUCGUUAGUUGCAAACAGGUCAUGCUGUGGACUCUAGCGAGACUGCCGGUGCAAACCGUGAGGAAGGUGGGGAUGACGUCAAAUCAUCACGGCCCUUACGUCCUGGGCUACACACGUGCUACAAUGGUAAUGACAGCGAACAGCCACCUGGCGACAGGGAGCUAAUCUACAAACAUUAUCAA